CCCUUAGAUGUUCUGGGCUGCACGCGCGCUACACUGAUGCGCUCAACGAGUUUAUGAACUUGCCCGGAAGGGUUGGUUAAUCUUUUUAAAACGCAUCGUGAUGGGGAUAGAUUAUUGCAAUUAUUAAUCUUCAACGAGGAAUUCCUAGUAAGCGCGAGUCAUCAGCUCGUGCUGAUUACGUCCCUGCCCUUUGUACACACCGCCCGUCGCUCCUACCGAUUGGGUGUGCUGGUGAAAUGUUCGGAUCGGCCGUUUGUCGCGGUUUCCGCGUCAUGUGGCUGAGAAGUUCAUUAAACCCUCCCACCUAGAGGAAGGAGAAGUCGUAACA
Molecule: ribosomal RNA, 328 nt
Filed under: uncultured eukaryote
Lineage: Eukaryota
Description: partial 18S ribosomal RNA
Rfam family: Eukaryotic small subunit ribosomal RNA
Source: RNAcentral